GUGAGAUUAUACAGUAUUUGUCUUUCUCCCUCUGGAUUGUCUCACUUAGUAUAAUGCCUGCCCUCCCGGUCUGUCCAUAUUGUCACUAAUGGAGGAUUUCUCUCAAGGCCGUGCAGUGUGAGGGCAUCUACUGCAUCUCCAUGCAGCUGUCCACUGUCAUCCAUGCUCCACUGCAGUAAAAGGACAACUCUGAGUCCCCUCGCCCAUCCAGCCAUUUCCCUCCUCUGUCACCCAAGGACCUCAGCCUCCUGGAUCUGAACCACGUCUGUGAGGUUUUUUUAAACUUGAAUGGCGAGCUUUCAUUGCGUGGGAUAGUAAAUAACUGUGUGGCAAAGGCCUUCAUUACAAACCAGAAAUCAAGAAAAUCUCAUUUGGAUGGAUACCGGCUCUGUUGGUGGCUGCAGAGUGCUGUUCCCUAGGCAGGUUCCAAACACUGUGACAUGGGGUACGUGUUCUGCAGCCACUGGGCGUGGGGGCCAGAGAAGCUGGGAAACAGCACCAGCGUCCAUCACCGUCCGCUCAGGGCAAGUUCACGCACGUGCUUGCUUUGUGAAUGUGGUGCCAGUUUCCAGAUGUGUAAAAUGAGGGUGAGGAGAGCACCUGCUUUCUAGGGUCCCUGCUCUCAAUCACGAGGCCAGGGUGCCCUGCUAGGGUGGAGCCUCUUUCAUGCUGCCCUUCUACUGGUCCCAAGCUCCUUCCAUCAUUUUCCUCUAUGGACAGUUUACCAAACCUGCUGAGUCAUCUUUAUGGAGCUUGGUCCCCCUUCCAUAAAGUGAAGGGCAGGAAGGCUUUGUUUUCUGCUUUUCCGGAAAAAAGAUUCUUAAACUAGAAUAGGGAUGGCGAGUUUCCGAAUUUAGGUGGCGGGCCAGUGGUUGUGCGCGCUAACAGCCACCCAUGGCCUCACUCUCCCCACAUGGUGCCGCUCCUUUCAGUGGGGGGUCCCUUGGGGGCUUGGAACAGGGGAAGCUCUGCACAGACCUACUGACACCUGAAACCGGCGAGAGCAGUGCCGCUCACACACUCAGAGACGCAGGCAGAAUCAGUCAGUCUCACCACGAGGCAGUGUGCACAGAGCGCCCUGUGACUGCGAGUGGGGACAGGGCCCGGCCUCUCAGCGCCUCUGUCCCUGACUGUGACACCUGCAUUCCCAGCACCGAGCAUCACCUAGGAGAUGCUGAGGAACCCAGAAGGGACAGGCCUGAGGCUUGCUGUGUUUCCUCGCAGGUGGCUGGGGACAAGGGCCCGGUCACUGCUCCCUAACCACGCACCCGAGCCGCCAUUUCUGCCCACCUCUGUUCAGUGAGUGCAGCGGGAGGGGCGGCCUGGGCAGCUCCAGGUGAGGCAUCAGGCCCUGUCACCCACACACUCUCAGGGUGGCUGCUUUGGAUGACCACCGGGCCCUGGGACAAGGCUGAAGACCUUUGCAGGUCAGGCAUCACCUGUGACAAAGGCAUGUGCUCCCAGUCACUGGGUGAGAACAUUCCUGACCCUCUGCAGGUGCUGGGCGUGGGGGGCUUUGGCAGUGCUGCAGUACAAGGUCUCCAGCCCUCCUAGAAGGUGUGGCUGCAGGAGGUCAGAGCGUGAGGAGGGGGAACUAGGCCCUGAGAACUGGGUGGCAGGGACAUUGACCAGCCAGAAUGGAUGCUGUUUGUGCACCAAACUGCUGUGUCACGGCAGGCACAGUGUCUAACCUUCAUGCUGUCUCCUAGGUGUCACCCUGGAGCAAUGAGCGGCACAUGCAGAGGAACACAGCAGGUGGGCCCCUGCCCGGAGGAGCCAGAAAACCAAACAGGUACAGUGCACUUGUCAUCACAGCACACUCUCCCAAGAUCAGAGAGUUGGCAGAGUGAGGCCAGGCUGUAGUCAGACCCUGCAAGGUGGCUGUGUGUCACUAAACCACCACAGGUAGUUUCUACUUACACCUCAAGCCACCAGGGCAGAGCAGGGAGCCUCGGGCCUCGCCCAGUUUGGUGUGUGUCGUAGAGGGGAAGCCAGACUUCUCACAGGCCUUUAGAAUUGAAUCACUCCAGGUCCAUGGCAUGCACAGCCCUACAGGGAUAGUCCAGAAGUUUUCUUGGACACUCAAUUAGCAUGGAAUAAUUUUUCCAAAGUGUCUCUUCAAAUGAUAGGAGUUUUGGCUUUUUCUGCAGGUUUCCCAGGCUCUUCCUUUCACGGAACCCCACUCCCUGCAGUCACCUCCCACCCCUGGAGACCUGGAACCUUGGCCUGAGGACCCUUGCUCUCCUCAACUCACAGAUGCCAUGUUUUGUCUUUGUGAUUUCCUUGACAUUACAGCCAGGUGACACCCCUCCUCUUCUAUCCUGUGGUUUCCACUUCCUACUGGUGUAACUUUGCACAUUUGCAGCUCCUCAAGUGGCCUACAAGCUCCUUGAAGACAGGAAGUACUGAUGCAGCCACACAGCACCCGGGAGAGGCCCUCCUGCUAGCUCUGGCUCCUGCCUUUCUCUGACUACCUGAGGUUUAAGGCUCCUUUCGAGUGUGUGGAUGAGUCUCCGGUUUCCUUUGAUUGGACGCCCUGCUCCACUGAGGCUUCUGCCUUCCAUCCCUGCAAGGUCCAUGGCCACAUCCGCAUCGGCUGCCACAGGUGCUGCUCUCCCACCCCACUCGUCAUGCCCUCUGAGCUACAGGACUUUACUUAGUGGAGCCCCUUGCUCAAAGUUUAUGAAGGACCUCAAGAUGGAGACAGCGGAACAGGAAGCUAAGAGACCCUUCUACCAGUACGUGUGGGAUGCUAAAGUGACACCUUGCCUCACUGCCCAGGAGCUACCAGGUGCAGGGCUGGCUAAGCACAGAUGCCUCUCACAGAUGAGGAAACUAAGGACUGGAGGUUUACACACUUGUCCAAGGACACAAUAAGUGGCAGAGAAGACAUAUAAACCUAGCUUGGUCUGUUUCCAAAGCCUGGCUCUUGACCACAAUGCUUCAUGGCCUUGUGGCUUGUCAUCAAAGUGUUUUAUGAAUCCUGACUUGCCAACACCUCUGAGGAAGGAAAACAUACUUUGAUUUUCCAGAACAACUGGAAGAGCCACAGACAAUCUAAGCUGGAGCUAGAAUUAGAAAGCAAUGUUUUCAUAUUCAAGUUCAAAUAUCAAAGACACUUGGGGAAACUGGUCAUCUACCCAUGGAAGAAUGUGCAUACAAAGAAGCACUUUCCAUUCUCUUUGCCCCAGAUCACAUGACAAUGCCAGAUCACAUGACAAUGAGGCACUGUCAUGUGACCUCUCUGAUAACCUAAGGGGGGGUGGGGUGUAGUGGCAGUCUGCAGCCAAGGGAAAAUCUAAAACUUACAAAGAGAAAAUACCAUGUUCAUCUUUAUCUUUGGUAAGGUAGAAAAUGAAGGAUUAUAUUUUCUUUUAUGUAGUGACUAGCUGACAACAACAUUCUGAGUUGGAAACUGCUCUUACCGUCACUUAAUUACACAGAGCAUUUGUUACUUUAUCAUAUAACCUGUAUACAUGAUAAUUGACAGGGUCAUCAGCAUUUUAGAAUGGCUACGUUUCUGAAUAGUACGAGCAACCCUGGAAGCCAGGAAUGACACUGUUUGCAGUUAAACCUAUGCUUUUGUAUAAAGAUAUGGAUUAUCUUGCAAAAUUAACUUCACAUAUUAAUAAUCUUUUCCUUGAGUUGAAUUGGUGAGGUUUUUGAUUUGUCUAUUUUUGUGGGCGGAAAUAAGUCCCUAAUAGCUACUGCACAAAUUCCUGAGGCUUUCACAAUAUUAGUUGUGGUUUCAAAUAUUUGACAUUCACAUUAAGAAUUAAAUACCAUCCAUUAUAUAACUUUUUUUUCUUUAAAAUUAAAAACUUGCUAUAAAAACACUAAAAAAGGAUGGUAAUAACCAGGAUGUUAAUAUUAAAGCUAUAGAUCUGGUUCAACCAAAAUUUUAAUGUUAACCUAAAACUUUCUAAAAGAAACUGAAAGUUUGCAAAUAGCAGCCUAUAUUUCCCAUCCACAUAUUAACUUUUGAAGUUAUGACAUUUUAUGGAGUAAAAUUUUUGUUUUUCAAUCUAGAAAUAUUUAUGGGUGUCAUCCUAUACAUUAAAAAUUUGCCUAAAAUUAGAAUAAGUGAAUACAUUUCACAACUAUAUUUCAAUACUAUUUGACACAUAAUAGAAGAUUAAGCAAAGACCUUCAUAUUUCUGAUAGCUAUGUUAUCAGAAGUUCUCAAAAUAUGAACAACCUGUGUCAAAUUUUACUUAUACAUUACGGUAGGGGUUGAAAUAUAUUGUACCAAUUUUACGGAGAGAUUUUUUAGAAGCUGAAACAAACCCACAAAUAAAGAGAACUUGAGCAAAACCUCAGGUUUUGGAGGUCUGCCCAGAUUUUGUGAAUUUACUUAUUAAGCAGCAUGGCUGCUGGAAAUCGUCCAGAACCUACGGGCUGCAGAAGAGCAGAGACUACGGGCGGAAGUCCGUCUGCUCUCCUCUGUGAGCAGAAGGAGCACAAAACUCUUGCUGUCAUUGCUAAACAGUUUCCUGAUUCGCUGGACAUCAGGGGUGCAACCUCACACCCUAAGUAAGAGGAAGGACGCUCAGGCCUUCCACAGGUUUGCCAAAUGAGCAAACUAAAGCCCACAGCUCCUGUGAUUCAUAAAAUUCUUGUUCUACCUUUUGAUUUUGCUUUUCCGGCAUCUAUGAAAAAUCAGAAAUCAAAGUACUGAGCUCCUUGGAAGCUAAUACAUCACCCUGGACAGCUCCAAAAUCAUUUCAGAAUUGAUUACAGGCUGGCUGAUUAAAUGUGCAGGGGUGGGCAAACAGGUUACAGUUGUUCAUAUGGAAAAUACCAACUAAUAAAUAGU
Molecule: long non-coding RNA, 4816 nt
Organism: Myotis davidii
Lineage: Eukaryota; Metazoa; Chordata; Mammalia; Chiroptera; Vespertilionidae
Exons: 4
Source: RefSeq, a predicted model, not a curated record